RNAcentral lists this long non-coding RNA (628 nucleotides) under Homo sapiens (human). Its description in RNAcentral is "uncharacterized LOC102724551, transcript variant 1 (LOC102724551)". The record is from RNAcentral. Lineage: Eukaryota; Metazoa; Chordata; Mammalia; Primates; Hominidae.
GACAGCAGCUGCACAGCUCCAGACAAUCGUUGUCAAGGACGGGAAUGAGAUUCUAACAUGGCUGAUCUGAUUUUUCAAGAAAGAAAUGACUUCUGGCAACUGACAGGCUCCACGUUGAGUGUUCACACUGUGCCCAAUUCUGCCCUGAGCACUUUGCUUGGUUUCUCCACAACAAUAUUGUGAUCAGUAUAAUUACUGUUAUUCCCAUUUUAUAGAUGAGAAAAAUAGUAAUGGAGGAAAUGGAAGGAAAAAGGAUGGCCAUAAGUUGGAGGCAGGUGAAAGACCCAAAUUCAUGGAAGAGAAGUGAGUCACACAGGGAGCCAGUGGCAGAGCCACACCCCACAGAGCAAUCAACAUGCUCUACUCUGCAGACCUGCAACAGGGAGGGAAGCCAGACUCUGAUGCAAGAAGGAAAGACCAUGUGCUGGCUCAGUGUGUGCAGCCUGGACUGAGCUACUGAACUCUAAAUCCAAGGAUGACUAAUGUAAGCCUAAAGGGUAAUCUGCAAAUACUGCUCCAUUAAUAUUCAAUGAUAAAUGAUAUUGCUUUAGAAUCAAAUUCACAUAAACAGAAGCUUCAGCUGUAUGUCCGCACCCUGGGAACAUUAAAUUGUAAGCCACGUCUUGUA